This 74-nucleotide transfer RNA is filed under the name Trueperella bonasi. RNAcentral describes it as "tRNA-Gly". It matches the Rfam family "tRNA". From Rfam's summary of the family: Transfer RNA (tRNA) molecules are approximately 80 nucleotides in length. Their secondary structure includes four short double-helical elements and three loops (D, anti-codon, and T loops). The record is from RNAcentral. Lineage: Bacteria; Bacillati; Actinomycetota; Actinomycetes; Actinomycetales; Actinomycetaceae. RNAcentral also lists the same sequence under 3 other names.
GCGGGUGUAGCUCAAUGGUAGAGCCUCUGCCUUCCAAGCAGAUAGUGCGAGUUCGAUUCUCGUCACCCGCUCCA